UUUGAUUUCUUCCUAAGAGAUUAACACUGGGAUUGUGGUUAUUUUGUUGUUCAGUCAUUGUAUUUGCAAAUUUUUACAAUGAAUAUAUAAACUUGUCAGCUUUAAAUUCUACUACUAAAAGAUACUGUAGUUAACCUUUAAGAUCAUAUCUUAACUUCUGAAGCCUUUGCCAGCUUGGUGUCACAUUCACAUUCAAGUGUGAAAGGUACUUUAUAAAUUGGUUGCAAGGAGGGGACAGAAAUAUAAUCUCUCAAGCAUGUGGCAUGUGAGUGUUCUCUCUGACUUCCCAAGACUCCUUGCUAAGAGUUCUUCCUCUGGCAUUUCUCCCCAAGGUGCACCUUCUGCUGCUUCAGUAAUAUUGAAAUGGGUGUAACAGUUUUGGGAAUGACCUGGGAGUAUAGAUGAGUUCUGUUCCUCACCCUGCCACUCUCUGAAUUGCUGUGUGAUCUCAGAUGAGUUAUAGCCCCUUCAGUUUGCCUGUCUGUAAAAUAUAUUUAGUUGAAGUGACAAUACUUCCAGUUAACUUGUAUACACUACUACACUUUAGAAAACUUCUGUAGCGUGACAUAAUAAUGUGAUGAAAAUUAUAUAUAGAUGGAAUAUGGUGGAAAUUAACUCACCUAAGAGAUGCUGUAAUUUCUUUUGAGACUGUGAAAAGGCAACAUACAGUGCUGUUACUUGCCAUUUCAUUUUAUUGCUAUUUCAUUUCACUUUUCAUGUGCUUUAAUUCAGAAGUGGCUGAACUUGCUCAAACUUCCAAAGAAACUGAAUUGAAGUCGAGGGAGAGAAAUAGAGCAGGACGAAUAGGAGGGUGCCAGGCUGAUCACUACAACUGUUUAAAAUAGAAAAGCAGAUGGAACAAAUAGAAAGAUUUACCACACAGCUUGAUCUCUCCCCCUGAAGCAGCCAUUCAUCAUCAGCACCGCUGAGACAAACUGCGAAACAAGUUUCCCUUUGUGGCUGUGAUUGGGCUUGGAGAGGUGGCAGAGCUGCACGACAGCCUCAGGAUUGGCUGGGCGAGAACACACCUCUGGAGUCUGUUUAUUUCCCAAAAAUAAGAUAAAAUCUCUUAUAUUUCGCCUGGAGAUCUUUUAUCUUGCAUUUAAUAUCCAAAUAAACUAGAGCAAACACAGUUAACCUCUUUGGAA
Molecule: long non-coding RNA, 1148 nt
Filed under: Manacus vitellinus (golden-collared manakin)
Lineage: Eukaryota; Metazoa; Chordata; Aves; Passeriformes; Pipridae
Description: lncRNA (ENSMVIG00005018246.1)
Source: RNAcentral